CGCGUUUGUUGUUGUUACAGCGUGAAACGAGGCUUAUAUUCCUGUGAUUUCACAUACUAAAUUGAACUUCGUAACUUAUAUGCAUACUGUCAGUCAUUCCAACAAGUUGACUUAGCACUCAGUCACUUUCCAUCGGAUUAGACCCUCAUGAUUUCAAAAGCCAAAAACUCAUGUUUGAAGCCCACAUGUAGUGGAAUACAAAUUUGCCGAGAUAAGGUAUUCUUGAACCAUAGGAUCUUUUCUGAAUCUCGCAAUUUUGGUGGUGUACCUAGCUGCAACUGCAUGUUUGUUGUUGUGGAUGUUUUUACUUCUGUUAAGAAAGCAAUACAGCUAAGAGAAAGAGUUUCAGUGACGUGAAGAGUGGGAGUGAAUAGCCUGCCAUGUGUAUUCCACAUAUACCGGAUCUGCUUGAUGAAAGUCAAAUGCCUUACUAAAUUCAUCACCCGCAUGAUAAAGCAUCAGGAAAUUUAUCUCAUCAUGUGGAGUAAUGCUGUUGGUUGCUGUGAAUUCC
Molecule: long non-coding RNA, 511 nt
Filed under: Daphnia pulex (common water flea)
Lineage: Eukaryota; Metazoa; Arthropoda; Branchiopoda; Diplostraca; Daphniidae
Description: uncharacterized LOC124198721, transcript variant X2
Source: RNAcentral